This 305-nucleotide ribosomal RNA is filed under the name uncultured Haplosporidia. RNAcentral describes it as "partial 18S small subunit ribosomal RNA". It matches the Rfam family "Eukaryotic small subunit ribosomal RNA", at positions 1286 to 1613 of the family's 1831-position model. Lineage: Eukaryota; Endomyxa; Ascetosporea; Haplosporida. The record is from RNAcentral.
WGGUGGUGCAUGGCCGUUCUUAGUUGGUGGAAUGAUCMRUCAGGUUAAUUCYGAUAACKAACGAGACCCCAGCCAUCUAACUAGCUGUAACUACUUUUGUAGUUUUUGUGUAAACAAGAACAGCUUCUUAGAGGGACUAUCUGUGUCAGCAGGUGGAAGUUUGGGGCAAUAACAGGUCAKUGAUGCCCUUAGAUGCUCUGGGCUGCACRCGCGCUACAAUGGUGCAUUCAGCGAGUAUAACCUUUCUUGAAAAAGAUGGGUAAUCUUUAAAAUGCAUCUCAGUUGGGAUAGAUGAUUGCAAUUGU